This 345-nucleotide unclassified non-coding RNA is filed under the name soil metagenome. RNAcentral's name for it is "partial contains 5.8S ribosomal RNA, internal transcribed spacer 2, and large subunit ribosomal RNA". The stretch from base 1 to 120 matches the Rfam family "5.8S ribosomal RNA", at positions 35 to 154 of the family's 154-position model. The record is from RNAcentral.
GAUGAAGAACGUAGCGAAAUGCGAUACGUAAUGUGAAUUGCAGAAUUCAGUGAAUCAUCGAGUCUUUGAACGCACAUUGCGCCCCCUGGUAUUCCGGGGGGCAUGGCUGUCCGAGCGUCAUUGCUGCCCUCAAGCACGGCUUGUGUGUUGGGCCUCCGUCCUCCUCCCGGGGGACGGGCCCGAAAGGCAGCGGCGGCACCGCGUCCGGUCCUCGAGCGUAUGGGGCUUCGUCACCCGCUCUUGUAGGCCCGGCCGGCGCUUGCCGACACAUCAAUCUUUUUUCCAGGUUGACCUCGGAUCAGGUAGGGAUACCCGCUGAACUUAAGCAUAUCAAUAAGCGGAGGA